UACAGAGGGUGCAAGCGUUGUUCGGAAUCAUUGGGCGUAAAGCGCACGUAGGCGGACUGCUAAGUCGGAUGUGAAAGCCCAGGGCUCAACCCUGGAAGUGCAUUCGAAACUGGCGAUCUUGAGUGUCGGAGAGGGUGGUGGAAUUCCGAGUGUAGAGGUGAAAUUCGUAGAUAUUCGGAGGAACACCAGUGGCGAAGGCGACCACCUGGACGAACACUGACGCUGAGGUGCGAAAGCGUGGGGAGCAAACAGG
RNAcentral lists this ribosomal RNA (253 nucleotides) under uncultured bacterium. Its description in RNAcentral is "partial 16S ribosomal RNA". It matches the Rfam family "Bacterial small subunit ribosomal RNA", at positions 524 to 776 of the family's 1533-position model. The record is from RNAcentral.